CGGGUUGUCGCAUUUGUCGAGAACUACCGAGGCAGCAAGAUGUCGAAGCUUGUAUUCCUAGUUGCCAGCUUGAUGAUCCUGAGCACUUUGGCGGUGGGAACUGGGUCGAGCACUACAGGUCCAUCCACCGUAGCGACCAUAGCGACCGCAGCGACCACGAAGAAGGCGACUGUUACCACAGCAGCCACCACUGGGGCCGCCACUGCCAAACAGACAACAGUCAAGCCAACCACGACAGGCGUCGCAGGUCUAGCACCAAGUCUCUUCCUUGUUGCCGUCCCUAUGAUUGUAGCCAAGUAUUUGUAAAGACAUCAAGAUGACUUGGAUCGCCUGCUCUUGCUGGAUCGUCAACGAAUGUCGGGAGAAUCAGAGCAUGAUGAUAUGUUGAUUGGUAACUGUCGUGUUCAUCGCCUAGGUAACAUAAGAUCUAUGGAUGAGCCAGGACGCUCAAUCAGCAAGACAUUGUUGUGGUGACUAACGCUGAUUGACCGACUUAGCUCCAGACACGAGAUCUCACCAUCUGCAAAGGAUUGUAUCGGGGAGAGGACCGGGCACCUUGACAUUUUCGGUGCCUGCAUUGAUAACUCAACGUCGGGAGGACCACCAUUUUACAUUUCGAUUGUUCCCAAGUGCGGCAUCGCAAAAGACAGUACCAGGAAUAGCAAGCAGCAUGGUUUCAUGACCGCCAGGACGGAUAUGACGGCAAAGGCGAUAUCAAUAUAUAAUUCCGCUUUAAUUCAAGAAAUCACAUUUUGUUAAAUGCAGUUUAUCAUGAUGUGAAGUUUUGACUGUACCGGUAUUUUAAAACCGAUCAAGUGCCGUUGCGACAAUGACACGUACGCGUGUAAGUUGAAACGGCCCCUGACCGAGUUAACCGUAACUUGGACGUCAAACUCGCUUCUAUGUCCUGUAUGGCAUGUAGAUUGGCCGGUGAUACUGUAGAAUAUUAAAGAUAUUUAUAUCAGUAUUAA
Molecule: long non-coding RNA, 971 nt
Organism: Lineus longissimus
Lineage: Eukaryota; Metazoa; Nemertea; Pilidiophora; Heteronemertea; Lineidae
Exons: 3
Source: RefSeq, a predicted model, not a curated record